CUAUACCGGUCCUAAGGUAGCGAAAUUCCUUGUCGGGUAAGUGCCGACCCGCACGAAAGGCGUAACGAUUUGGGCACUGUCUCAACAACAGACUCGGUGAAAUUGUAAUUCCGGUGAAGAUGCCGGAGACCUGCGACAGGACGGAAAGACCCCAUGGAGCUUUACUGUAGCUUGACAUUGGGUCUUGGUACUACAUGUACAGGAUAGGUGGGAGGCUUUGAAACCAGGACGCCAGUUUUGGCGGAGCCAUCCUUGGGAUACCACCCUUGUAG
RNAcentral lists this ribosomal RNA (272 nucleotides) under Clostridioides difficile. Its description in RNAcentral is "partial 23S ribosomal RNA". It matches the Rfam family "Bacterial large subunit ribosomal RNA", at positions 1940 to 2211 of the family's 2925-position model. The record is from RNAcentral. Lineage: Bacteria; Bacillati; Bacillota; Clostridia; Peptostreptococcales; Peptostreptococcaceae.